RNAcentral lists this ribosomal RNA (556 nucleotides) under uncultured Trichocomaceae. RNAcentral describes it as "SSU rRNA". It matches the Rfam family "Eukaryotic small subunit ribosomal RNA", at positions 20 to 586 of the family's 1831-position model. Lineage: Eukaryota; Fungi; Ascomycota; Eurotiomycetes; Eurotiales; Trichocomaceae. The record is from RNAcentral.
GUAGUCAUAUGCUUGUCUCAAAGAUUAAGCCAUGCAUGUCUAAGUAUAAGCAACUAUACUGUGAAACUGCGAAUGGCUCAUUAAAUCAGUUAUCGUUUAUUUGAUAGUACCUUACUACUUGGAUAACCGUGGUAAUUCUAGAGCUAAUACAUGCGCAAAACCCCGACUUCGGAAGGGGUGUAUUUAUUAGAUAAAAAACCAACGCCCUUCGGGGCUCCUUGGUGAAUCAUAAUAACUUAACGAAUCGCAUGGCCUUGCGCCGGCGAUGGUUCAUUCAAAUUUCUGCCCUAUCAACUUUCGAUGGUAGGAUAGUGGCCUACCAUGGUGGCAACGGGUAACGGGGAAUUAGGGUUCGAUUCCGGAGAGGGAGCCUGAGAAACGGCUACCACAUCCAAGGAAGGCAGCAGGCGCGCAAAUUACCCAAUCCCGAUACGGGGAGGUAGUGACAAUAAAUACUGAUACGGGGCUCUUUUGGGUCUCGUAAUUGGAAUGAGAACAAUUUAAAUCCCUUAACGAGGAACAAUUGGAGGGCAAGUCUGGUGCCAGCAGCCCCCCC